CUCCGCCUGACCACCUCUCCAAAUUUAUGCAUCGGUGGCUCCGCAAACCUCUGGACAAGACGGUGCGCAACCGCCUUCGCUCCGAAUGUCCUCGCCCUUCACUCCCCGAUCAUGUGGCUCAGACACCCGAAUUCGACCAGGUCAUGACCACGUUCAUGUCUCGAGGCGGCCGUGACCCCCGAAGAGGCGUGGAAAAAGGAUUCCACGGAGUCCAGGACAAGUUGCUGGACUCCAUUGGCCCACUUGCCCGCAUCAUGUAUUUGGCGG
Molecule: non-coding RNA, 267 nt
Organism: Pelobates cultripes (western spadefoot toad)
Lineage: Eukaryota; Metazoa; Chordata; Amphibia; Anura; Pelobatidae
Source: the annotation of a GenBank genome assembly